This 476-nucleotide ribosomal RNA is filed under the name uncultured Paraglomus. RNAcentral's name for it is "SSU rRNA". It matches the Rfam family "Eukaryotic small subunit ribosomal RNA", at positions 569 to 1050 of the family's 1831-position model. The record is from RNAcentral. Lineage: Eukaryota; Fungi; Glomeromycota; Glomeromycetes; Paraglomerales; Paraglomeraceae.
AGCAGCCGCGGUAAUUCCAGCUCCAAUAGCGUAUAUUAAAGUUGUUGCAGUUAAAAAGCUCGUAGUUGAAUUUCAGGCCUGGCUGGACGGUCCGCCCUUCGGGUGAGUACUGUCUGUGGUCGGGUCCUACCUUCUGGCGAAGCGUCAUGGCCUUAACCGGCCGUGGCGGGGAACCAGGACUUUUACUGUGAAAAAUUAGAGUGUUCAAAGCAGGCAAUCGCUUGGAUACAUUAGCAUGGAAUAAUGGAAUAGGACAAUGGUUCUAUUUGUUGGUUUCUAGGACCGUUGUAAUGAUUAAUAGGGAUAGUUGGGGGCAUUAGUAUUCAAUUGUCAGAGGUGAAAUUCUUGGAUUUAUUGAAGACUAACUACUGCGAAAGCAUUUGCCAAGGAUGUUUUCAUUAAUCAAGAACGAAAGUUAGGGGAUCGAAGACGAUCAGAUACCGUCGUAGUCUUAACCAUAAACUAUGCCGACUAGG